UCUGGUGGCCUUUGUGUGUCCGAAUUGGAAUUUAGAAAAGGGGUUUCCGGGGUGGACUGGGGCCUAGUUCCCUGGAUAUGGAGCAUCAUAGAGGGUGAGAAUCCCGUCUUUGACACGGGCCCCCGGUGUUUUGUGAUGCGCUCUCGAAGAGUCGAGUUGUUUGGGAUUGCAGCUCAAAAUGGGAGGUAAACUCCUUCUAAAGCUAAAUAUUGGCGAGAGACCGAUAGCGAACAAGUACCGUGAGGGAAAGAUGAAAAGCACUUUGGAAAGAGAGUGAAACAGUACGUGAAAUUGUUGAAAGGGAAACGCUUGAAGUCAGUCGCGUCUGCUUGGACUCAGCCUUGCCUCGGCUUGGUGCACUUCCCGGCUGACGGGCCAGCAUCAAUGUCGACUCUCGGAUAAUGGGGGAGGAAAUGUGGCUCCUUCGCGGGUGUUAUAUCUUCUGCUCUCAURCGUGGAACAUGAUGUCGAGGAACUCCAUGU
RNAcentral lists this ribosomal RNA (483 nucleotides) under uncultured Russulaceae. Its description in RNAcentral is "eukaryotic LSU rRNA". It matches the Rfam family "Eukaryotic large subunit ribosomal RNA", at positions 121 to 603 of the family's 3401-position model. The record is from RNAcentral. Lineage: Eukaryota; Fungi; Basidiomycota; Agaricomycetes; Russulales; Russulaceae.